GAAUAUGGGGGGACCAUCCUCCAAGCCUAAAUACUCCUUAACGACCGAUAGUGAACAAGUACCGUGAGGGAAAGGUGAAAAGAACCCCGGGAGGGGAGUGAAAUAGAAUCUGAAAUCAAGUGCUUACAAACAGUUGGAGCUCUAUAUCAAUUUAUUGAUAUUUAGAGUGACAGCGUACCUUUUGCAUAAUGGGUCAGCGAGUUAAUCUAUGAAGCAAGCUUAAGCCGUUAGGUGUAGGCGUAGCGAAAGCAAGUCUGAAUAGGGCGUUUUAGUUUUAUGGAUUAGACCCGAAACCAAGUGAUCUAGUCAUGACCAGAUUGAAGGUGUGGUAAAACACACUGGAGGAUCGAACCAGUUAAUGUUGCAACAUUAUUGGAUGAGUUGUGAUUAGGGGUGAAAGGCCAAUCAAACACCGUGAUAGCUGGUUCUCCGAAAGCUAUUUAGGUAGCGCCUCGUGAAUUCAUCUCCGGGGGUAGAGCACUGUUUCGGCAAGGGGGUCAUCCCGACUUACCAACCCGAUGCAAACUGCGAAUACCGGAGAAUGUUAUCACGGGAGACACACGGCGGGUGCUAACGUCCGUCGUGAAGAGGGAAACAACCCAGACCGCCAGCUAAGGUCCCAAAGUCAUGGUUAAGUGGGAAACGAUGUGGGAAGGCCCAGACAGCCAGGAUGUUGGCUUAGAAGCAGCCAUCAUUUAAAGAAAGCGUAAUAGCUCACUGGUCGAGUCGGCCUGCGCGGAAGAUUUAACGGGGCUCAAACCAUACACCGAAGCUACGGGUAUCACCUUCGGGUGAUGCGGUAGAGCGCGGAAGAUGUAACGGGGCUAAACCAUGCACCGAAGCUGCGGCAGCGACGCUUAUGCGUUGUUGGGUAGGGGAGCGUUCUGUAAGCCUGCGAAGGUGUGCUGUGAGGCAUGCUGGAGGUAUCAGAAGUGCGAAUGCUGACAUAAGUAACGAUAAAGCGGGUGAAAAGCCCGCUCGCCGGAAGACCAAGGGUUCCUGUCCAACGUUAAUCGGGGCAGGGUGAGUCGACCCCUAAGGCGAGGCCGAAAGGCGUAGUCGAUGGGAAACAGGUUAAUAUUCCUGUACUUGGUGUUACUGCGAAGGGGGGACGGAGAAGGCUAUGUUGGCCGGGCGACGGUUGUCCCGGUUUAAGCGUGUAGGCUGGUUUUCCAGGCAAAUCCGGAAAAUCAAGGCUGAGGCGUGAUGACGAGGCACUACGGUGCUGAAGCAACAAAUGCCCUGCUUCCAGGAAAAGCCUCUAAGCAUCAGGUAACAUCAAAUCGUACCCCAAACCGACACAGGUGGUCAGGUAGAGAAUACCAAGGCGCUUGAGAGAACUCGGGUGAAGGAACUAGGCAAAAUGGUGCCGUAACUUCGGGAGAAGGCACGCUGAUAUGUAGGUGAAGCGACUUGCUCGUGGAGCUGAAAUCAGUCGAAGAUACCAGCUGGCUGCAACUGUUUAUUAAAAACACAGCACUGUGCAAACACGAAAGUGGACGUAUACGGUGUGACGCCUGCCCGGUGCCGGAAGGUUAAUUGAUGGGGUUAGCGCAAGCGAAGCUCUUGAUCGAAGCCCCGGUAAACGGCGGCCGUAACAAUAACGGUCCUAAGGUAGCGAAAUUCCUUGUCGGGUAAGUUCCGACCCGCACGAAUGGCGUAA
This 1663-nucleotide ribosomal RNA is filed under the name Calligrapha philadelphica. RNAcentral describes it as "bacterial LSU rRNA". It matches the Rfam family "Bacterial large subunit ribosomal RNA", at positions 440 to 2004 of the family's 2925-position model. The record is from RNAcentral. Lineage: Eukaryota; Metazoa; Arthropoda; Insecta; Coleoptera; Chrysomelidae.